AGUGGCGGACGGGUGAGUAACGCGUGAGUAACCUGCCUUCAAGAGGGGGAUAACAUUCUGAAAAGAAUGCUAAUACCGCAUGACAUAUCGGAACCACAUGGUUCUGAUAUCAAAGAUUUUAUCGCUUGAAGAUGGACUCGCGUCCGAUUAGUUAGUUGGUGAGGUAACGGCUCACCAAGACCGCGAUCGGUAGCCGGACUGAGAGGUUGAACGGCCACAUUGGGACUGAGACACGGCCCAGACUCCUACGGGAGGCAGCAGUGGGGAAUAUUGCACAAUGGGGGAAACCCUGAUGCAGCGACGCCGCGUGGAGGAAGAAGGUCUUCGGAUUGUAAACUCCUGUUGUUGAGGAAGAUAAUGACGGUACUCAACAAGGAAGUGACGGCUAACUACGUGCCAGCAGCCGCGGUAAAACGUAGGUCACAAGCGUUGUCCGGAAUUACUGGGUGUAAAGGGAGCGCAGGCGGGAAGACAAGUUGGAAGUGAAAUCCAUGGGCUCAACCCAUGAACUGCUUUCAAAACUGUUUUUCUUGAGUAGUGCAGAGGUAGGCGGAAUUCCCGGUGUAGCGGUGGAAUGCGUAGAUAUCGGGAGGAACACCAGUGGCGAAGGCGGCCUACUGGGCACCAACUGACGCUGAGGCUCGAAAGUGUGGGUAGCAAACAGGAUUAGAUACCCUGGUAGUCCACACCGUAAACGAUGAUUACUAGGUGUUGGAGGAUUGACCCCUUCAGUGCCGCAGUUAACACAAUAAGUAAUCCACCUGGGGAGUACGACCGCAAGGUUGAAACUCAAAGGAAUUGACGGGGGCCCGCACAAGCAGUGGAGUAUGUGGUUUAAUUCGACGCAACGCGAAGAACCUUACCAAGUCUUGACAUCCUGCGACGGUUCUGGAAACAGAACUUUCCUUCGGGACGCAGAGACAGGUGGUGCAUGGUUGUCGUCAGCUCGUGUCGUGGGAUGUUGGGUUAAGUCCCGCAACGAGCGCAACCCUUAUGGUCAGUUACUACGCAAGAGGACUCUGGCCAGACUGCCGUUGACAAAACGGAGGAAGGUGGGGAUGACGUCAAAUCAUCAUGCCCUUUAUGACUUGGGCUACACACGUACUACGAUGGCGUUAAACAAAGAGAAGCAAGACCGCGAGGUGGAGCAAAACUCAGAAACAACGUCCCAGUUCGGACUGCAGGCUGCAACUCGCCUGCACGAAGUCGGAAUUGCUAGUAAUCGCGGAUCAGCAUGCCACGGUGAAUACGUUCCCGGGCCUUGCACACACCGCCCGUCA
Molecule: ribosomal RNA, 1280 nt
Filed under: uncultured bacterium
Lineage: Bacteria
Description: bacterial SSU rRNA
Rfam family: Bacterial small subunit ribosomal RNA
Source: RNAcentral